This 694-nucleotide ribosomal RNA is filed under the name uncultured bacterium. RNAcentral describes it as "bacterial SSU rRNA". It matches the Rfam family "Bacterial small subunit ribosomal RNA", at positions 46 to 719 of the family's 1533-position model. The record is from RNAcentral.
GGAUUAGGCAUGCAAGUCGUACGUGAUCCUCGCUUCGGUGAGGUGAAAGUGGCGAACGGGUGAGUAAUGCAUAGCUAACCUACCCUUGGCACGGGGAUAACCAGGAGAAAUCUUGGCUAAUACCGGAUAGGCUCGUGGGAUUGCAUGGUCCUGCGAGUAAAGAAGGCCUCUUAGCAAUGCUUUCGGCCGAGGACGGGACUAUGUCCUAUCAGCUAGUUGGUAGGGUAAUGGCCUACCAAGGCGAUGACGGGUAGCCGACCUGAGAGGGUGACCGGCCACACUGGGACUGAGACACUGCCCAGACUCCUACGGGAGGCUGCAGUCGAGAAUCUUCCGCAAUGGGGGAAACCCUGACGGAGCGACGCCGCGUGCGGGAUGAAGGCCUUCGGGUUGUAAACCGCUGUCACGCAUUAAGAAGGGUCCGGUGUUAACAGCGCUGGGCUUUGACGAAGGUGCGGAGGAAGCCACGGCUAACUNCUGUGCCAGCAGCCGCGGUAAGACAGAGGUGGCGACCGUUGUUCGGAAUCACUGGGCAUAAAGCGCGCGUAGGCGGCAUAGCAAGUCGGGUGUGAAAUCCCUCGGCCCAACCGAGGAAUUGCGCUCGAAACUGCCGUGCUUGAGGACAGGAGGGGAGCCUGGAAUUCCUGGUGGAGCGGUGAAAUGCGUUGAUAUCAGGAGGAACACCGGCGGCGAA